This 1473-nucleotide long non-coding RNA is filed under the name Piliocolobus tephrosceles (Ugandan red Colobus). RNAcentral's name for it is "lncRNA (ENSPTEG00000018817.1)". The record is from RNAcentral. Lineage: Eukaryota; Metazoa; Chordata; Mammalia; Primates; Cercopithecidae.
UAUAAAUGGGAAAGUGGUAGACGAUGCUUGGGAAGUUGUUUCUCACUCAGAUAGUCACACCGAUGACAUAUUUAACACGGAUACAAUUAUGGAUAAAAACAAAAUUGAAGAUGGCAUUUAUAAUAAUUAUGAUAAUGGAUAUGUUAACAAAGAUUUAUCUUCAUCAGCAGGUAAUAAUAACAAGUACGUCAACCCAAACAACAGUGUAAUAGAAACUUCCUCGAAUGUAAAUUAUAUCCAUAAUGAUAAGACCUAUUACUAUAGCAACAGUAAUAGUUAUGACAGAAGUAGUGACAAGAGCAAUAGUAUUACCAAAAACAAUACUAUUCUUUUGCUUGAUUCGAAUAUAUUAAACAUAUUACUUCUAAACCUUAUCGAAAAUAUAAGAAUGAAUUGUGAUUUAAAACUCGAUAAUGUUUUAUUACAAAUAUGGGAUUCCAAUGUUGCACAUAAUCAUAGAUGUUCUAUGAAUUUUAUUUUAGAAUAUUUUAAUAUUCAUUUAUAUUCAUUAAACGUACAUGAAAAUAAAUUAAAAAAUGAAAAUUUAAAUAUUUAUAAUUAUUACAACAGUUUUUCAUGCAGUUAUUUAAAUACUAGUACAAAUGUUAGCUUGUAUGAUAAUCAUCAAAUGCAGGAUUGGAAGUUGGGUGAUAAUAUUGAUAGUAGUAGUGGUAGUAAUGCCACCACAAAAGGAGGGACUAACAAAAAAAAUGAUUUUUUACAUAUAGGAAACCAAAUGGGUAAUGUACUUGUUGAAUCUAGUUGUUACGAUUCGUUUGGUUAUAAUAAAAAUAAUGUAAACCGGUUAUCAAAGGACGAUUCAAUAGGCAAUAAUUCGGCAGAUUUUAAAGGCGUUUAUGAAAAGUAUGCCAACGAAGACAACAACCAUACAAAUGAUUACAACAAGGAAAGUUACAAAAAUAAAAAUAAUUUUUUAAACAAUAAUAAUCUUACAAACACAAACAUGAAACAAGCAUAUGUAGAGUUUUAUAAUGUUAAUCCUUCUAUUCGCCUUAAUAAUAAUGAAAACGAUUAUUCUGUACAAUACAACAUAAGUAACAAACACAUUUCAACUACAUCUACUAACGCUUUAAUAACAACCAACACAAUAGAUUCGUAUAGUAAUAAUACAAACACUAAUGCGGUUAAUGAUAUGAUACCUAAAGAUGGUGACAAAAGAGUUUUCGCUAGUGCUGACGCAAAUCAAACGCUAAACGCAUUAAACGAAGAACAAAUAUACAAAGGUACAAAAAGUGUCAAGUAUAAUAACCUACAAGACGACAUAAAUGAAAAUAAAAAAAAACAAGUUAUGACACUGUCAUGCAAAAACAAUUUUGUUAAACAUUUUAAACAGCUUAAUUACGAAAUUAAAAAAAUUUUUAAUACAUUAUUUUUAAGAAAAAAGAAAGAUUAUGAUAAUGAAGUAACAAUAAAAAUUAAAGAAGAAUCACACGAAUUAAAUUAUAAUAAUAU